This 93-nucleotide transfer RNA is filed under the name Burkholderiaceae bacterium. RNAcentral's name for it is "tRNA-Ser". It matches the Rfam family "tRNA". Rfam says of the family: Transfer RNA (tRNA) molecules are approximately 80 nucleotides in length. The record is from RNAcentral. Lineage: Bacteria; Pseudomonadati; Pseudomonadota; Betaproteobacteria; Burkholderiales; Burkholderiaceae.
GGAGUCGUGACCGAGUGGCCGAAGGUGCUCCCCUGCUAAGGGAGUAAGUGGGCAAAACCUGCUUCGAGAGUUCGAAUCUCUCCGACUCCGCCA